UACGUAGGGUGCGAGCGUUAAUCGGAAUUACUGGGCGUAAAGCGCACGUAGGUGGCGCCGUAAGUCGGGUGUGAAAGCCCCGGGCUCAACCUGGGAAUUGCAUUCGAGACUGCAUUGCUGGAGUACGGAAGAGGAGGGCGGAAUUCCCGGUGUAGCGGUGAAAUGCGUAGAUAUCGGGAGGAACAUCAGUGGCGAAGGCGGCCCUCUGGUCCAGUACUGACACUCAAGUGCGAAAGCGUGGGGAGCAAACAGG
Molecule: ribosomal RNA, 253 nt
Filed under: uncultured bacterium
Lineage: Bacteria
Description: partial 16S ribosomal RNA
Rfam family: Bacterial small subunit ribosomal RNA
Source: RNAcentral